RNAcentral lists this small RNA (26 nucleotides) under Bombyx mori (domestic silkworm). RNAcentral describes it as "ovarian small RNA-6063". The record is from RNAcentral. Lineage: Eukaryota; Metazoa; Arthropoda; Insecta; Lepidoptera; Bombycidae.
UACCGUUGGAAUGUGCGUUUCGUUGC